UAGGGAAUCUUCCACAAUGGACGAAAGUCUGAUGGAGCAACGCCGCGUGAGUGAAGAAGGGUUUCGGCUCGUAAAACUCUGUUGUUAAAGAAGAACAUAUCUGAGAGUAACUGUUCAGGUAUUGAUGGUAUUUAACCAGAAAGCCACGGCUAACUACGUGCUAG
Molecule: ribosomal RNA, 164 nt
Filed under: uncultured bacterium
Lineage: Bacteria
Description: partial 16S rRNA
Rfam family: Bacterial small subunit ribosomal RNA
Source: RNAcentral